Macaca mulatta (Rhesus monkey) is the source of this 1319-nucleotide non-coding RNA. NCBI's taxonomy places the organism in Eukaryota, Metazoa, Chordata, Mammalia, Primates, Cercopithecidae. The record is from RefSeq and is a predicted model, not a curated record.
UGAGGUUUUCCAGGCUUCUCUGGGGUGAACAUGGCCAAGCGGGGGUCACUUCAGUUGGCUGAGGACUUCGGGUCUUAUUUUUGGUUUACACUGGCCUGGGAUGGAACCGGGCAGUUCUAACGUGACCUGGGUGUGUACUGGUGGCUUCACUCACCCAGGGCAGGCAGGUGCCUGGAACCGGGACUCAGAAAGUGGCAGGAAGGUGGAGUGAGAAGAUGGGGCUAUUAGGGGCAUGGCAGGGGCAGGUCAAUCACCCCGAGGCUUCGGGAGCUUCCCGGCCUCUGGAAGGGCGGUGUGCUCGCCCUCCCCUGUGCACGGCGUUGAUAACAGUGUUAUCAGGAGCGGGAGUGUCCACUGAGCUGUGGCUUCGCCAUGCCAUACGAACACUCACAGGCAGCACUGCUGUCAGGAGGAUGGAGGCUGGGCCGGGAGGCUUGUUUUCAAGGCCGCGAGUGUCAAACCCACAAACCGCAGAGCAGAACAGACUUGGCCGAGCAGAUGAGGAGGGCCUCAUCCUCCAUCUCCCACCUCCAUCCUCUUCCCAACUGAAGUCAGAGGCCGGGACUGAGACCAGAGGUUGGCCUGAGAGUGGAGAGGAGUGAGGAAUCUAGCUGUUCUAGGGCCCUGGGCUGUUCAGAAUCCAUUGCAAACCAUUGGAAAGCAGGCUGGCUUUACUGUGGUUGUCCCUGUGGCCGUUGGCUGACGUUGCUGAAAUUCCAGGCCUCCAGAGUGUCCACACGUCCACGGCGGGGAAAGCCUGUUGCAGACCAGCCACCACACCCUGCGGCUCAGGACCAAGCUCCUAAAGCCCAGAGGCCUGCCCUGGGAGCAGUCCUCAGCCAGGACUCACUCCUGAGAAGAAUGAGAGGGGAAGCGCCUCCAGGCCAGGAUGCCAGCUAGCAGCGCCCUCCAGUAACGUCCUGGAGGAAGCAUCUCAUUCGUGCCAAACUCACUAAUUCUAAUUCGUCAUCAUGAUUCUUCACAAUGAAGAAAAGCUCCAAGCCAGUGCCUUCCUGGGGCAUGGCAGGCCUCCCUCUGGCCUGAGCGGGCAGCUGUGCCCAGACCUGGGCUCUUCCAAAGGCGCGCGACGGUCCUGCACACAGCUGGGUUGUGCUUGAGGCUUCAUUUACAGUGGAGGCGGAGGGGUUCCUGGGGUUCCCCCAUCAUCGAUCAUUUCAUCGUGGAUACUCUCAUCAUCGCUAACUUCAUCGUUGAUACUUUUUUUUUUUUUGAGAUGGAGUCUCGCUCUGUCGCCCAGGCUAGAGUGCAGUGGCUCGAUCUCAGCUCACUGCAACCUCCGCCUCCUGGGUUCAAGUGAU